Molecule: ribosomal RNA, 253 nt
Filed under: uncultured bacterium
Lineage: Bacteria
Also listed under: 1 other name
Description: partial 16S ribosomal RNA
Rfam family: Bacterial small subunit ribosomal RNA
Source: RNAcentral
UACAGAGGGUGCGAGCGUUGUCCGGAAUCACUGGGCGUAAAGGGCGCGUAGGUGGCGCCCCAAGUCAGUGGUGAAAGCUCGAUGCUCAACAUCGAGUCGGCCACUGAGACUGGGGGGCUCGAGCACUGUAGAGGCAGAUGGAAUUCCGGGUGUAGCGGUGGAAUGCGUAGAGAUCCGGAAGAACACCGGUGGCGAAGGCGGUCUGCUGGGCAGUUGCUGACACUGAGGCGCGACAGCGUGGGGAGCAAACAGG